This 253-nucleotide ribosomal RNA is filed under the name uncultured bacterium. RNAcentral describes it as "partial 16S ribosomal RNA". It matches the Rfam family "Bacterial small subunit ribosomal RNA", at positions 524 to 776 of the family's 1533-position model. The record is from RNAcentral.
UACGUAGGGUGCGAGCGUUAAUCGGAAUUACUGGGCGUAAAGGGUGCGCAGGCGGUAGAGCAAGUCGAGUGUGAAAGCCCCGGGCUUAACUUGGGAAUUGCGCUCGAAACUACUUUGCUGGAGUGUGGCAGAGGAAGGUGGAAUUCCACGUGUAGCGGUGAAAUGCGUAGAGAUGUGGAGGAACACCAAUGGCGAAGGCAGCCUUCUGGGCCAACACUGACGCUCAUGCACGAAAGCGUGGGGAGCAAACAGG